AGGAUUUCAAAUAUGCGUGCAUUAGAGAAUGAUUUUUUCAAUUCUCCCCCAAGAAAAACUGUUCGGUUUGGUGGAACUGUGACAGAAGUCUUGCUGAAGUACAAAAAGGGUGAAACAAAUGACUUUGAGUUGUUGAAGAACCAGCUGUUAGAUCCAGACAUAAAGAGAUUGCCUUGGUUGAAUAGAAGUCAAACAGUAGUGGAAGAGUAUUUGGCUUUUCUUGGUAAUCUUGUAUCAGCAUAGACUGUUUUCCUCAGACCGUGUCUCAGCAUGAUUGCUUCCCAUUUUGUGCCUCGAAUGUUACGUUCAUAACUUACUAAGGAUUAGUGUAUAUUUUCCAACCUUGAGGCAUGAAAUUCUGGAGCUUAUUAUUGAAAAACUACUCAAGCUGGAUGUGAAUGCAUCCCGGCAGGGUAUUGAAGAUGCUGAAGAAACAGCAAAUCAAACUUGUGGUGGGACAGAUUCCACGGAAGGAUUGUUUAAUAUGGUUAGC
This 493-nucleotide long non-coding RNA is filed under the name Homo sapiens (human). RNAcentral's name for it is "non-protein coding lnc-NPIPB4-3:3". Lineage: Eukaryota; Metazoa; Chordata; Mammalia; Primates; Hominidae. The record is from RNAcentral.